This 487-nucleotide ribosomal RNA is filed under the name uncultured bacterium. Its description in RNAcentral is "partial 16S ribosomal RNA". It matches the Rfam family "Bacterial small subunit ribosomal RNA", at positions 29 to 507 of the family's 1533-position model. The record is from RNAcentral.
AUUGAACGCUGGCGGCAUGCCUUACACAUGCAAGUCGAACGGCAGCACGGGUGCUUGCACCUGGUGGCGAGUGGCGAACGGGUGAGUAAUACAUCGGAACAUGUCCUGUAGUGGGGGAUAGCCCGGCGAAAGCCGGAUUAAUACCGCAUACGAUCUACGGAUGAAAGCGGGGGACCUUCGGGCCUCGCGCUAUAGGGUUGGCCGAUGGCUGAUUAGCUAGUUGGUGGGGUAAAGGCCUACCAAGGCGACGAUCAGUAGCUGGUCGGAGAGGACGACCAGCCACACUGGGACGGAGACACGGCCCAGACGCCUACGGGAGGCAGCAGGGGGGAAUUGUGGACAAGGGGCGAAAGCCUGAUCCAGAAAUGCCGAGUGUGGGAAGAAGGCCGUCGGGUUGGAAAGCACGUUUGUCCGGAAAGAAAUCCUUGGCCCUAAUACGGUCGGGGGGAUGACGGUACCGGAAGAAUAAGCACCGGCUAACUACGUG